GUCUACAGCCAUGCUACCCUGAACAAGCCUGAUCCUGUCUGAUCUCGGAAGCUAAGCAGGGUCAGGCCUGGUUAGCACUUGGGUGGGAGAGCUCCUAGGAAGACCAGGUGCUAUAGGUG
RNAcentral lists this ribosomal RNA (119 nucleotides) under Pteropus alecto (black flying fox). Lineage: Eukaryota; Metazoa; Chordata; Mammalia; Chiroptera; Pteropodidae. The record is from RNAcentral.